CCUACGGGGGGCUGCAGUGGGGAAUAUUGGACAAUGGGCGAAAGCCUGAUCCAGCCAUGCCGCGUGUGUGAAGAAGGCCUUCGGGUUGUAAAGCACUUUCAGUGGGGAAGAAAGCCUUGGGGCUAAUACCCUCGAGGAAGGACAUCACCCACAGAAGAAGCACCGGCCAACUCCGUGCCAGCAGCCGCGGUAAUACGGAGGGUGCGAGCGUUAAUCGGAAUUACUGGGCGUAAAGCGCGCGUAGGCGGUCUGAUAAGCCGGUUGUGAAAGCCCCGGGCUCAACCUGGGAACGGCAUCCGGAACUGUCAGGCUAGAGUGCAGGAGAGGAAGGUAGAAUUCCCGGUGUAGCGGUGAAAUGCGUAGAGAUCGGGAGGAAUACCAGUGGCGAAGGCGGCCUUCUGGACUGACACUGACGCUGAGGUGCGAAAGCGUGGGUAGCAAACAGGAUUAGAUACCCCAGUAGUC
RNAcentral lists this ribosomal RNA (465 nucleotides) under Vreelandella stevensii. Its description in RNAcentral is "partial 16S ribosomal RNA". It matches the Rfam family "Bacterial small subunit ribosomal RNA", at positions 338 to 795 of the family's 1533-position model. Lineage: Bacteria; Pseudomonadati; Pseudomonadota; Gammaproteobacteria; Oceanospirillales; Halomonadaceae. The record is from RNAcentral.